CCUACGGGAGGCUGCAGUGGGGAAUAUUGGACAAUGGGCGAAAGCCUGAUCCAGCCAUGCCGCGUGUGUGAAGAAGGCCUUCGGGUUGUAAAGCACUUUCAGUGGGGAAGAAAGCCUUGGGGCUAAUACCCUCGAGGAAGGACAUCACCCACAGAAGAAGCACCGGCUAACUCCGUGCCAGCAGCCGCGGUAAUACGGAGGGUGCGAGCGUUAAUCGGAAUUACUGGGCGUAAAGCGCGCGUAGGCGGUCUGAUAAGCCGGUUGUGAAAGCCCCGGGCUCAACCUGGGAACGGCAUCCGGAACUGUCAGGCUAGAGUGCAGGAGAGGAAGGUAGAAUUCCCGGUGUAGCGGUGAAAUGCGUAGAGCUCGGGAGGAAUACCAGUGGCGAAGGCGGCCUUCUGGACUGACACUGACGCUGAGGUGCGAAAGCGUGGGUAGCAAACAGGAUUAGAUACCCGAGUAGUC
RNAcentral lists this ribosomal RNA (465 nucleotides) under Vreelandella stevensii. RNAcentral's name for it is "partial 16S ribosomal RNA". It matches the Rfam family "Bacterial small subunit ribosomal RNA", at positions 338 to 795 of the family's 1533-position model. The record is from RNAcentral. Lineage: Bacteria; Pseudomonadati; Pseudomonadota; Gammaproteobacteria; Oceanospirillales; Halomonadaceae.